This 241-nucleotide long non-coding RNA is filed under the name Olea europaea (common olive). Its description in RNAcentral is "long non-coding RNA (OEUR_LNC009719)". Lineage: Eukaryota; Viridiplantae; Streptophyta; Magnoliopsida; Lamiales; Oleaceae. The record is from RNAcentral.
UCGUUUACCAUGAAACUAUAAUCCCUUCGUCAAUAUAAUCUGAUCAACUACGAGAUAUGGAAGUGUGUCAAUCUCGAUUAUCAAUCAUAUCUUUCAUUAUACUAUUAAGUCAAUAUGAGUCGAAAACUCCUUUUCGACUUAUAUGUAUACCUUGGCCAAGGAUUUCGUUAUUGACUUAAUUGAACGAAAUGUAGAUUACAAUCUCUUACUAUCUAAGAGUGACGAAUCCUCUAUUGAUCAU